This 534-nucleotide ribosomal RNA is filed under the name uncultured bacterium. RNAcentral's name for it is "bacterial SSU rRNA". It matches the Rfam family "Bacterial small subunit ribosomal RNA", at positions 777 to 1308 of the family's 1533-position model. The record is from RNAcentral.
AAUAGAUACCCGGGUAGUCCACGCCGUAAACGAUGAGUGCUAAGUGUUAGGGGGUUUCCGCCCCUUAGUGCUGCAGCUAACGCAUUAAGCACUCCGCCUGGGGAAUACGGCCGCAAGGCUGAAACUCAAAGGAAUUGACGGGGGCCCGCACAAGCGGUGGAGCAUGUGGUUUAAUUCGAAGCAACGCGAAGAACCUUACCAGGUCUUGACAUCCUCUGACAAUCCUAGAGAUAGGACGUUUCCCGUUCGGGGAACAGAGUGACAGGUGGUGCAUGGUUGUCGUCAGCUCGUGUCGUGAGAUGUUGGGUUAAGUCCCGCAACGAGCGCAACCCUUGAUCUUAGUUGCCAGCAUUCAGUUGGGCACUCUAAGGUGACUGCCGGUGACAAACCGGAGGAAGGUGGGGAUGACGUCAAAUCAUCAUGCCCCUUAUGACCUGGGCUACACACGUGCUACAAUGGAUGGUACAAAGGGCUGCAAGACCGCGAGGUUUAGCCAAUCCCAUAAAACCAUUCUCAGUUCGGAUUGCAGGCUGA